UGUAGUGGCACCAUCACUGAAACACUUCUCUUUUAGACACGUUGUCUCACACUUCUCGUAAAAACUAACACAAUUUCUAGGGUUUGAACAAAAAUCUAAAAAGAAGCCUCGGAACCCUGAUUUGGGUUUUCCAACAUCGGGAAAUAUUGAAGCUUAUUGUCUUCCACUCUCUUUAUUGAUAGUGUGGUGACAUAUUCCGGAGACUACUGCGUGUUGUUCCACAAUUAGCAGAUUUUCGCAAAUCAGACCAUCACGUAAGGGACUCUUCCAGCAUCGAUGAAGCUGAUUUCUUUGAAGCUCUUUGCUUGAUGUGAUGUGGUUGUUUGAAGAUAAUUAGAGUUUGUUUAAGUUUGAGUUUCAUUAUUGCAAGAGAAGGUGUAAUAUUUAAAAGAAAAAAUAAUAAGAAUGAAGAAGUAAAACAAAUGAAAUGAUAUUUUUUAAAAUGUUUAUCAGUUAAUUUUUUAAAUAUAUAUGUAUUUAUAAGUUAUAAAUUUUUUU
Molecule: long non-coding RNA, 498 nt
Organism: Gossypium arboreum
Lineage: Eukaryota; Viridiplantae; Streptophyta; Magnoliopsida; Malvales; Malvaceae
Exons: 2
Source: RefSeq, a predicted model, not a curated record